Molecule: transfer RNA, 66 nt
Filed under: Escherichia coli
Lineage: Bacteria; Pseudomonadati; Pseudomonadota; Gammaproteobacteria; Enterobacterales; Enterobacteriaceae
Description: tRNA-OTHER
Rfam family: tRNA (bases 8-66)
About the family: Transfer RNA (tRNA) molecules are approximately 80 nucleotides in length.
Source: RNAcentral
GCGAAGGUGGUUGGUAGCGCAACUGGUUUGGGACCAGUGGGUCGGAGGUUCGAAUCCUCUCUCGCC